GGUUCCGUAGCUCAACUGAAUAGAGUACCACACUACGGAUGUGGGGGUUGUGGGUUUGAAUCCCGCCGGAAUCA
Molecule: transfer RNA, 74 nt
Filed under: Bacteroidales bacterium
Lineage: Bacteria; Pseudomonadati; Bacteroidota; Bacteroidia; Bacteroidales
Also listed under: 1 other name
Description: tRNA-Arg
Rfam family: tRNA
About the family: Transfer RNA (tRNA) molecules are approximately 80 nucleotides in length.
Source: RNAcentral